This 440-nucleotide ribosomal RNA is filed under the name uncultured bacterium. Its description in RNAcentral is "bacterial SSU rRNA". It matches the Rfam family "Bacterial small subunit ribosomal RNA", at positions 338 to 787 of the family's 1533-position model. The record is from RNAcentral.
CCUACGGGAGGCUGCAGUGGGGGAUAUUGCGCAAUGGGCGGAAGCCUGACGCAGCGACGCCGCGUGGGGGAUGACGGCCUUCGGGUUGUAAACCUCUUUCGGCCGGGACGAAGCCUGUGGGUGACGGUACCGGUAGAAGAAGCACUGGCCAACUACGUGCCAGCAGCCGCGGUAACACGUAGGGUGCGAGCGUUGUCCGAAGUUACUGGGCGUAAAGCGCGCGUAGGCGGUUUUCUAAGUCCGGCGUGAAAGGUUCAGGGCUCAACCCGAACAGUGCGCUGGAGACUGGAGAGCUUGAGGACGGGAGAGGGAAGCAGAAUUCCGGGUGUAGCGGUGAAAUGCGUAGAUAUCCGGAGGAACACCGAUGGCGAAGGCAGCUUCCUGGCCCGUAUCUGACGCUGAGGUGCGAAAGCGUGGGGAGCGAACGGGAUUAGAUACCC